This 376-nucleotide ribosomal RNA is filed under the name uncultured bacterium. RNAcentral's name for it is "bacterial SSU rRNA". It matches the Rfam family "Bacterial small subunit ribosomal RNA", at positions 524 to 898 of the family's 1533-position model. The record is from RNAcentral.
UACGUAGGUGGCGAGCGUUGUCCGGAUUUACUGGGCGUAAAGAGCCCGCAGGCGGUCCGUUAAGUUUCAGGUGAAAUAUCCCGGCUCAACCGGGAGGGUGCCUGGAAAACUGGCGGACUUGAGGCAGGGAGAGGGAUGUGGAAUUCCCGGUGUAGUAGUGAAAUGCGUAGAUAUCGGGAGGAACACCAGUGGCGAAGGCGGCAUCCUGGCCCUGUCCUGACGCUCAGGGGCGAAAGCGUGGGGAGCAAACCGGAUUAGAUACCCGGGUAGUCCACGCCGUAAACGAUGAGUACUAGGGGUGGGGGGUAUCGACCCCCUCCGUCCCGAAGCUAACGCGAUAAGUACUCCGCCUGGGGACUACGGCCGCAAGGCUAAA